This 73-nucleotide ribosomal RNA is filed under the name Vibrio parahaemolyticus. Its description in RNAcentral is "partial 16S ribosomal RNA". It matches the Rfam family "Bacterial small subunit ribosomal RNA", at positions 1 to 70 of the family's 1533-position model. Lineage: Bacteria; Pseudomonadati; Pseudomonadota; Gammaproteobacteria; Vibrionales; Vibrionaceae. The record is from RNAcentral.
CUUAAAUUGAAGAGUUUGAUCAUGGCUCAGAUUGAACGCUGGCGGCAGGCCUAACACAUGCAAGUCGAGCGGA